This 497-nucleotide ribosomal RNA is filed under the name uncultured bacterium. Its description in RNAcentral is "partial 16S ribosomal RNA". It matches the Rfam family "Bacterial small subunit ribosomal RNA", at positions 28 to 507 of the family's 1533-position model. The record is from RNAcentral.
GAUGAACGCUGGCGGCGUGCCUAAUACAUGCAAGUCGAGCGAACAGACGAGGAGCUUGCUCCUCUGACGUUAGCGGCGGACGGGUGAGUAACACGUGGAUAACCCACCUAUAAGACUGGGAUAACUUCGGGAAACCGGAUCUAAUACCGGAUAAUAUAUUGAACCGCAUGGUUCAAUAGUGAAAGACGGUUUUGCUGUCUCUAAUAGAUGGAUCCGCGCCGCAUUAGCUAGUUGGUAAGGUAACGGCUUACCAAGGCAACGAUGCGUAGCCGAACUGAGAGGGUGAUAGGCCACACUGGAACUGAGACACGGUCCAGACUCCUACGGGAGGCAGCAGUAGGGAAUCUUCCGCAAUGGGCGAAAGCUUGACGGAGCAAGGCCGCGUGAGUGAUGAAGGUCUUCGGAUCGUAAAACUCUGUUAUUAGGGAAGAACAAAUGUGUAAGUAACUAUGCACGUCUUGACGGUACCUAAUCAGAAAGCCACGGCUAACUACGUG